RNAcentral lists this long non-coding RNA (1327 nucleotides) under Takifugu rubripes (torafugu). RNAcentral's name for it is "lncRNA (ENSTRUG00000032301.1)". Lineage: Eukaryota; Metazoa; Chordata; Actinopteri; Tetraodontiformes; Tetraodontidae. The record is from RNAcentral.
AUCACCCAUCACCACCACAGAACGAUCCCUGAUUGAUGACUGGUGUCUGCAGGGCAUCGGGGGGCGUCAGCAGCCCUCAGCGACACCAAGCCCGGGAACUCUCGCCUCGUUAUGUGGCCAACUUUAACGUGGAGAACACGACCAAGGGCGACUCUGGACAUAUCGCUGCAUCAGCCAAUCAGAGCGCGGCGUGGGCGUGUCUUCCUAUGCCGAGCUCACCGUCAAACAACCUCCUGUACCAAUUGCCCCUCCUCAGUUGAUAGCAGUCGGCGCCACCUACCUGUGGAUCCAACUCAACGCCAACUCCAUCAACGGUGAUGGACCAAUCAUUGAGAGAGAGGUGAGGUGUCGAUUCCUGGUGGGUUUAGGUUCUGGUGGGUUUUCGCCAAGGUUCUUGGGAACUGUUCCUGGGAACUGGUGACGUCAUAUAGAAGGUUCUGGUGCUCCUUUGGUUCUUAUUGAAGUCCUGAUCUGCCAUGUUUUCACAUCUUGAUGAGGCUUCAGAACUCUUCAGUGAAGCAGUUUGUUGUUGACGGUCGUUCCGUUCCUCGGUGAUGGCUCGGUGAACGGAACAUGGAUCUGGUUUCAGGUGGAGUACCGCACGCUGUCAGGAAUGCUGAUCGACACCACGCCAGUGGAUAAGCCCACACACAGAUUGGACAUUUGGACCCCGACACGAAUACGAGAUCAGCGUGCUUCUCACCAGAUCGCUGGAUGGUGGAACAGGAAGACCUGGACCACCUCUUAGGGCCAGAACCAAGUGUGCAGGUGAGUCAGGUCACAUGAUCAUGAGGAUGAUGAUGGUGAUGAGGAUGUAUGCUCCUGUGAUGCUUCAGUGGAACCAGCUUUCUCCAUUCUAGUGAGUUCUUGGUGAAGGUCUGUGAGGGUCUGCGGAACCUCUGUGUUUAAUAAUGAAUUAGCAUCUCCACCAGACAAGCUUCAGGACUUAGUGCCCACUGAGUCGACUCAGUGUGGUGUCUCCUGAACAGGAGUGCUCACGACCCGUGUGUCCUCCUGGAUCCUGAACUCUGAACAGAACCACGCUUUAGAACGGAUCUAUUGGCUUGGGUCAUGUUAGUAACAGUCUUUAAUGUUCUUCAAAGUUCUGGUGGUCGUGAUGGCUUUCCAGAACAUGUGACUGGAUGCUCCGAUACGUGAGACAUGCAUGAAGGUCCACGGUUCUAGUUGGUGCCCCCCCCCCCAACACACACACACACACACAUGCAAUGAAAAUAAAAUACUUUCUUUCAGGACAGAAACCACAAUCAGCAUCUGUGUGUGUGUGUGUGUGUGUGUGUGUGUUGUGUGUGUGGGUGGGUGUGUGUGU